UGCGUGCCUCAAGUAUAAAGGACGACUGGUUGACGAAUGCUUAUACGUCUUGAAGUCUUGUUAAGUACGAACCCGUACUUAUUGCUGCUUCUACGGGAUAUAACCGGGCAGGUAUGAAGAUAUGUUCGAUAAAGACGACGCUAGCAAGGUUACCCUUCCGGCUUGGCCUGGGCAGGGUUAUGGACGCCACUGGUUAUCUUCAGGACUCUUAGUCCAAUUUGUAUCUUGUCCGUACUCGGAUGUAUUCGCUCUUCUGUAUGAUUUGGAUCUUUGUAUGUAUCUAUUUGUAUCUUGACUCAUUGGAGUCGUUGUUGUAAUAUAUGUAUCUUGUGGGCUCUAUUGUAAUCCUGAUGUAAUGUUA
Lolium perenne is the source of this 361-nucleotide non-coding RNA. The record is from RefSeq and is a predicted model, not a curated record. NCBI's taxonomy places the organism in Eukaryota, Viridiplantae, Streptophyta, Magnoliopsida, Poales, Poaceae.